GUCCCUACGGGGCGCAGCAGUAGGGAAUCUUCCACAAUGGGCGAAAGCCUGAUGGAGCAACGCCGCGUGGGUGAAGAAGGUCUUCGGAUCGUAAAACCCUGUUGUUAGAGAAGAAAGUGCGUGAGAGUAACUGUUCACGUUUCGACGGUAUCUAACCAGAAAGCCACGGCUAACUACGUGCCAGCAGCCGCGGUAAUACGUAGGUGGCAAGCGUUAUCCGGAUUUAUUGGGCGUAAAGGGAACGCAGGCGGUCUUUUAAGUCGGCGGUAAAAGCCCGGGGCUCAACCCCGGCGAGCCGGUGAAAA
This 305-nucleotide ribosomal RNA is filed under the name uncultured bacterium. RNAcentral describes it as "bacterial SSU rRNA". It matches the Rfam family "Bacterial small subunit ribosomal RNA", at positions 335 to 633 of the family's 1533-position model. The record is from RNAcentral.